RNAcentral lists this transfer RNA (75 nucleotides) under Chlorobiaceae bacterium. Its description in RNAcentral is "tRNA-Asn". It matches the Rfam family "tRNA". Rfam says of the family: Transfer RNA (tRNA) molecules are approximately 80 nucleotides in length. Their secondary structure includes four short double-helical elements and three loops (D, anti-codon, and T loops). Lineage: Bacteria; Pseudomonadati; Chlorobiota; Chlorobiia; Chlorobiales; Chlorobiaceae. The record is from RNAcentral.
UCCGCAGUAGCUCAAUGGUGGAGCAUCCGGCUGUUAACCGGAGGGUUACAAGUUCGAGUCUUGUCUGCGGAGCCA